RNAcentral lists this non-coding RNA (24 nucleotides) under Mus musculus (house mouse). Lineage: Eukaryota; Metazoa; Chordata; Mammalia; Rodentia; Muridae. The record is from RNAcentral.
UAUGGAACACCCAGUACUGGGAGU